This 603-nucleotide ribosomal RNA is filed under the name uncultured fungus. Its description in RNAcentral is "eukaryotic LSU rRNA". The stretch from base 257 to 410 matches the Rfam family "5.8S ribosomal RNA". Lineage: Eukaryota; Fungi. The record is from RNAcentral.
CUGCGGAAGGAUCAUUAGUGUAACCGAGCAACGCUGUAAGCUACUUACAGCGGGUCUGUUGCUAGUAUUAGGCUGUUGCUUGCAGCGGUUCUAGUGCUUUCAGCAGGCUGCGAGGGAGAUAUUAUACACCCCAUGUUUUUCUCACUUUUGUUGCUUUGGCGGGCCGUCCAUUUCGGCAUCGGCCCCGGCCGAUUGCGCCCGCCAGAGGACCCCAAACUCUUCCAUUAGUGAUGUCUGAGUACUAUAUAAUAGUUAAAACUUUCAACAACGGAUCUCUUGGUUCUGGCAUCGAUGAAGAACGCAGCGAAAUGCGAUAAGUAAUGUGAAUUGCAGAAUUCAGUGAAUCAUCGAAUCUUUGAACGCACAUUGCGCCCGCUGGUACUCCGGCGGGCAUGCCUGUUCGAGCGUCACUAUAACCAAUCAAGCUCUGCUUGGCGUUGGGGCCCGCUGUACUGGGCGGCUCUUAAAAUCAGUGGCGGCGGCGUCUAGUUCUAAGCGUAGUAACUUCCCUCGCUAUAGGGCUUUAGGCGUCCACCUGCCAGACCUUAAAUUUCUCAAGGUUGACCUCGGAUCAGGUAGGGAUACCCGCUGAACUUAAGCAUA